This 253-nucleotide ribosomal RNA is filed under the name uncultured bacterium. RNAcentral's name for it is "partial 16S ribosomal RNA". It matches the Rfam family "Bacterial small subunit ribosomal RNA", at positions 524 to 776 of the family's 1533-position model. The record is from RNAcentral.
UACGUAGGGGGCAAGCGUUGUCCGGAAUUACUGGGCGUAAAGCGCGUGUAGGCGGCAAGGCAUGUCGGAUGUGAAAUCCCGUGGCUCAACCACGGAAGUGCACCCGAAACUGCCCAGCUUGAGUCUCGGAGAGGAAGGCGGAAUGCUUGGUGUAGAGGUGAAAUUCGUAGAUAUCAAGCGGAACACCGGUGGCGAAGGCGGCCUUCUGGACGAUGACUGACGCUGAGACGCGAAAGCGUGGGGAGCAAACAGG